GCAAAAGAAAUCAAAGUAUUAAGAGUCUCCUCCGGCCACAAGAUCCUUAAGGUGAAUGGCAUAUGAUUCAAGUUCAGGAUUCUAGUCCAUGGUCCAAAGAGCACGAACGGUUACAGUUGAAGCAACUGUUGGAAGCUCUAUUGCCUUGCAAUAGUUUUUUCAAAUCAUUUCUAGGUUUCGAUCUAGGAAGCGGCAGACCAUUGAUUUACUUGCGACCAGUUGGUUAUUCAAUGUUGAAAGAUUCCAUAGGGUUCAUGUAGAAUGAUCAAUUUUUGAGGU
This is a long non-coding RNA of Coffea eugenioides, 279 nucleotides long. RefSeq lists it as uncharacterized. NCBI's taxonomy places the organism in Eukaryota, Viridiplantae, Streptophyta, Magnoliopsida, Gentianales, Rubiaceae. The transcript has 3 exons. The record is from RefSeq and is a predicted model, not a curated record.